RNAcentral lists this long non-coding RNA (778 nucleotides) under Olea europaea subsp. europaea. Lineage: Eukaryota; Viridiplantae; Streptophyta; Magnoliopsida; Lamiales; Oleaceae. The record is from RNAcentral.
AUUCCGCUUGGUACACAUUAAUGUAAAAAUGAGAAUGAAAAAUAUAGUCAUUAUGGGUUCCACACAAGAGAUAGAAAUUCAAAUUUGGUGGCUUGAUGUGAUGGAUAACGAUCAUAUUUUUCAUUUUAAUGAAGAAAAAAUGGGAAUCAAACAGGGGUUAAAUGAGAUGUUCUAGGGAAAAUGCUAGGGGCAAAGGUCUGGAUACUCAGGCUGACACUUUUCUUAUGCUUUUUGAAGUGUUCUGUUGCUUUGCUUUCUGCUAACUGCAAUGAAGCGAUUCACAUGAUUUGACUUGCGUGCAGUUGAGAUCGGAGGGAAAAGAUUAUGUCGUACAAGAAGGGGAUGUGAUGCUAUUCCGGUUUAAUGUAUAACUGGAAUAUCCUCGAUGGUGAAAUGCCUUAUUAGUUAUACAAUCACGUCAAGUAGAACUCGAGAGUAUUGCCAAUUUCACAUAAAGACGAUAAAUCUCUCAAAGAGGCUAUUUUUUUGGAACCAGAAUGUGUUUUUCAGAAACGUGAAGCGGAAUAGACAAUUUUUGCUUAUUCAUUGAGAAUCCCUCGAUUCAUGGAACUCGCGUCAAAUGCUUCCCUUUCAUGUAAUUUGUUUCAUAUAUUACUGAAUAAAGUUAUAUUUUAUUUUAUUAUUUUUUUCUUUUUUCUGUGGAAAAGGUUGUCUUAUACAACUUCUGUUCUGUGUGAGAAGGGGAAAAGUUCCCAAAAACGAUAUUUAUAGAUUUUGAUGUGUUAUCAAUGUUUCCAUAGGGAAAUUAUGGUACUAA